GCCAAGAACGCAGAAGAGGAGAGGGAAAAGGAUCUUUCCUCCCCUGUGUGUCCACUGCGACUUCCUUCUCUGCCAGGAAGCCUUCUGUGACCACCUCUCCAAUUCUGGGUCAGUCUCUCUGUCCUCUCACCUCCAGUGCCCCUUGGGAUCUGAUCUACUCCCUUGACAGGCAAUGGCCUUGUCCAGCUGUCCAACGGGAAUACAAUGGGAAGAAAGUAUUCUUAAAGAUGAUUCACAUAAAAUCUGAACAGUGAUGAGGCCAGCUCCCCUGCGCAUUCUAACGCGGAGCGGAGGGCGCCAGGAGCAGGGGUGGGAUGACCCCGGGCCAGAGUGGACAAACCUCCUGUUCCUGGAGCCGGUGCCCUGCGAGGAUGCGGACGUGGGCUUCAGAUAAGAGUGGAGGCGCCUGUCCGCCCUGGGAAAGCUCUGCGCGGAC
This 436-nucleotide long non-coding RNA is filed under the name Equus asinus (donkey). RNAcentral describes it as "lncRNA (ENSEASG00005036327.1)". Lineage: Eukaryota; Metazoa; Chordata; Mammalia; Perissodactyla; Equidae. The record is from RNAcentral.